UUACGGCCACAUCAUGUUGAAACACUGGUUCCCGUACGAUCACUGAAGUUACACAAUGUCAAGCCAGGGUCAGUACUUCUACUGGUGACUGCUUGGGAAUACCAGGUGCUGCUG
Acanthosepion pharaonis is the source of this 114-nucleotide non-coding RNA. The record is from the annotation of a GenBank genome assembly. NCBI's taxonomy places the organism in Eukaryota, Metazoa, Mollusca, Cephalopoda, Sepiida, Sepiidae.